UCCCUGGUGGCUCAGAGGAGAAAGCAUCUGCCUGCAAUGCAAGAAACCCGGGUUCGAUCCCUGGGUUGGGAA
This 72-nucleotide transfer RNA is filed under the name Bos taurus (domestic cattle). It matches the Rfam family "tRNA". Rfam says of the family: Transfer RNA (tRNA) molecules are approximately 80 nucleotides in length. Lineage: Eukaryota; Metazoa; Chordata; Mammalia; Artiodactyla; Bovidae. The record is from Rfam by way of RNAcentral. RNAcentral also lists the same sequence under 3 other names.